GACGCUGGCGGUGCGCCUUAUGCAUGCAAGUCGAGCGAAGCUUUUCAGUAGUUUACUACAGAAAAUGACUGAGCGGCGAACGGGUGAGUAACGCGUGAGCAACCUACCUUAGUUACUGGGAUAGCCCGAGGAAACUCGGAUUAAUACCGGAUAUUCUUAUUUAAUCACAUGAUUUUUUAAGGAAAGGUCAGCCGAACUAAGAUGGGCUCGCGUUCUAUCAGCUAGUUGGUGGGGUAAUAGCCUACCAAGGCUACGACGGAUAGCUGGUCUGAGAGGACGAUCAGCCACACUGGGACUGAGACACGGCCCAGACUCCUACGGGAGGCUGCAGCAGGGAAUAUUGUGCAAUGAACGAAAGUUUGACACAGCGACACCGCGUGUGGGAUGACGGAUCUAGGUUUGUAAACCACUUUCAGGAGGGAAGAAAAUGACGGUACCUCCACAAGAAGCCCCGGCCAACUACGUGCCAGCAGCCGCGGUAAUACGUAGGGGGCGAGCGUUGUCCGGAUUUAUUGGGCGUAAAGAGCUCGUAGGCGGUUCAACAAGUCGGUCGUGAAAGUUCAGGGCUCAACCCUGAAAUGUCGAUCGAUACUGUUGUGACUAGGAUACGGUAGAGGUGAGUGGAAUUCCGAGUGUAGCGGUGAAAUGCGUAGAUAUUCGGAGGAACACCAAUUGCGAAGGCAGCUCACUGGGCCGCUAUCGACGCUGAGGAGCGAAAGCUAGGGGAGCAAACAGGAUUAGAUACCCUGGUAGUCCUAGCUGUAAACGAUGGAUACUAGACGUAGGAAUUGGAUUAACGAUUUCUGUGUCGUAGCUAACGCGUUAAGUAUCCCGCCUGGGGAGUAC
Molecule: ribosomal RNA, 846 nt
Filed under: uncultured bacterium
Lineage: Bacteria
Description: bacterial SSU rRNA
Rfam family: Bacterial small subunit ribosomal RNA
Source: RNAcentral